Molecule: ribosomal RNA, 305 nt
Filed under: uncultured bacterium
Lineage: Bacteria
Description: bacterial SSU rRNA
Rfam family: Bacterial small subunit ribosomal RNA
Source: RNAcentral
GUCUCCUACGGGGGGCAGCAGUCGGGAAUAUUGCGCAAUGGAGGAAACUCUGACGCAGUGACGCCGCGUAUAGGAAGAAGGUUUUCGGAUUGUAAACUAUUGUCGUUAGGGAAGAUAAAAGACUGUACCUAAGGAGGAAGCCCCGGCUAACUAUGUGCCAGCAGCCGCGGUAAUACAUAGGGGGCAAGCGUUAUCCGGAAUUACUGGGUGUAAAGGGAGCGUAGGCGGCCUGGCAAGCCUGAUGUGAACUACCGGGGCCCAACCCCGGGGCUGCAUUGGGAACUGCCAGGCUGGAGUGCCGGAGG